Molecule: ribosomal RNA, 435 nt
Filed under: uncultured bacterium
Lineage: Bacteria
Description: partial 16S ribosomal RNA
Rfam family: Bacterial small subunit ribosomal RNA
Source: RNAcentral
AGCGAACGCUGGCGGCAGGCUUAACACAUGCAAGUCGAGCGGGCACUUUCGGGUGUCAGCGGCGGACGGGUGCGUAACGCGUGGGAACGUGCCCUCUGGUUCGGAAUAACUCAGGGAAACUUGAGCUAAUACCGGAUACGCCCUUUUGGGGAAAGGCUUGCUGCCGGAGGAUCGGCCCGCGUCUGAUUAGCUAGUUGGUGAGGUAACGGCUCACCAAGGCGACGAUCAGUAGCUGGUCUGAGAGGAUGAUCAGCCACACUGGGACUGAGACACGGCCCAGACUCCUACGGGAGGCAGCAGUGGGGAAUAUUGGACAAUGGGCGCAAGCCUGAUCCAGCCAUGCCGCGUGGGUGAUGAAGGCCUUAGGGUUGUAAAGCUCUUUUAUCCGGGACGAUAAUGACGGUACCGGAGGAAUAAGCCCCGGCUAACUUCGUG